Molecule: long non-coding RNA, 1652 nt
Organism: Odocoileus virginianus texanus
Lineage: Eukaryota; Metazoa; Chordata; Mammalia; Artiodactyla; Cervidae
Source: RefSeq, a predicted model, not a curated record
CGGGGAGGCGGGACAGCCGGUCCUGACGGGCCGGGACGCGGCGCUAGUACCGGAGCUUGAAAGGUAUCCUCCGGCCCCUCCCUGUGCACUCCUGCGUCAGCCUGGAGCGUGAUCUCGGGCCUCCCAACCCCUUCCCAGCAGCCUCGGAUCAGAAGCCUCCAGGCAGGUUGCCCAGGGCUUUCUUUUGCUCCUGCAGGUGCUGAAUGCAUUUACUCCACCUCUGGAAGGGCUAACUGAGGGGCCGCAGAGAGCAGGGCAACCCAUCAAGUCCCCCAUCUAGUGGCGGAGACAUGCAAAGAUAAGGAAUGUAUAUCGGGCCUCUGUCUCAAGUAGGUCAAUUUUAAUGAUGACUCAUCACAUCACUUGAAAAGAUGAAGGAAACAAGGGAAGAGUCCUGGCCGUGAUACUGUGAGUUGGUUCGGAGUCAUAGGGAUCAGAUGCAGAAGCAUCAGGAAACCAAGAGCAACCUUCAGUGGCAGAGGCACUCAGCCGCAGGGAGAGUCCUUCCUCAUGAGAGUCUGGGUGAAGAAUGCGUUUGUGGAAAGCAGUGCUGAAUGUUUCACUCAGCUUUCUCCAUAAGCAUGCCUGGUGUGUUAAAAUUGUCCACAAUAAUUUAGGUUCAAACAACAUUUGGAAAGCAGUAAUGUUGAGAAAUGAUGUAAAAAUAAUGAAUGCGCAAAACUUCCCAGCACGUUAUCCUUAUUCAAAAAGACUUGAGCAGAAGAUAAAUCCUACAAAUUUAUGAACACAGUUUCCUCUUUUAGCUAGAGUUCAAUCCUCAGUAGACUGGAAAUUUUCCAGGGAAGAAAACAUUUGAUUAUAAAGAAUAUAGGAAACUUUAAAAUCAUGGAAUAACUCUUAAUGAAUAUCAGAAAGUUCUUGUUAAAAGAAUCAAUAAAUAUGCAAUACAACAUCCCAGAGCACAAGUCCGUCCCAGAACGGGAGAGCUCCUUCUGCAGAGAAACGCUGUGUGUGGUCAGUGGUGCAUGGUGACUUUCUUCUGGUGUCGUUUUCACUCGUUUUUCCUCUUUGUUUGUGGGAGAGUCUUCAUGCCCACUCAGUGGCUUGUUUUCUUUGUAUUUAUCAAUGUAAAUUUGAAAACUUCAGUGAGAUACCACUCAAACCGCAGAUAGUCAACAAAUCUGUGAGUGUCCAGGAGUCUCUGGCAGAGGUGUGGGUCGGUGGCGGCCUGCUGCAGGGUUGGGGGCAUGGACUAUAGCAGUACAUGCCUGGGAUCUUUUGAGGGAGGCCACCAUUAUCUUCAUCACCUCCAUCAUAGUUUGGCCCCAGGUAAAUAGCAGGGAGGGAACACAGCUCCACCUGUUCACUCCACCAGAGCUCUCUGCAGGCUGAACUAUCUGUUGUGACGUUUUCAGAGAAAAGCUAGGGCUUGACAUCAUUGCUUGCAGAUCACUUCUGUACGCUCCUUGUUGCAGGCUGGUUUUCCAGAAGCAGACACAGAGGAGGAACUCGGUGGCAGGACGAGUAAGCAAAGGCUUCCUGUCUGGUGCAACUCACAGGGACCUCUAGCCGGCUCAUCCCUGGCAAGCCGAGGCGCGCGCAUGCGCAGGACUCGCGGGGCGCGCCCUGAAAGUAUUCUUGAGAGUACCUUGGACUGGGAUGAGAUCAAACCAGUCAAUCCUAAAGGAAAC